AACUUAAUAACUUUUCUAGCUUCUGAAGGCGCCGCGGCCCCUGCCGUAAAACCCCCCAACUCUUUAGUGGUUGACCUCGGAUCAGGUAGGAAUACCCGCUGAACUUAAGCAUAUCAAUAAGCGGAGGAAAAGAAACCAACAGGGAUUGCCUUAGUAACGGCGAGUGAAGCGGCAACAGCUCAAAUUUGAAAGCUGGCCUUCGGGUCCGCGUUGUAAUUUGUAGAGGAUGCUUUUGGUUAGGUGCCUUACGAGUUCCCUGGAACGGGACGCCUUAGAGGGUGAGAGCCCCGUACGUUUGGUUACCGAGCCUCUGUAAAGCUCCUUCGACGAGUCGAGUAGUUUGGGAAUGCUGCUCUAAAUGGGAGGUAAAUUUCUUCUAAAGCUAAAUACCGGCCAGAGACCGAUAGCGCACAAGUAGAGUGAUCGAAAGAUGAAAAGCACUUUGAAAAGAGGGUUAAAUAGCACGUGAAAUUGUUGAAAGGGAAGCGUUUAUGACCAGACUUUUUCCUGGCGGAUCAUCCGGUGUUCUCACCGGUGCACUUCGCCAGGUUUAGGCCAGCAUCGGUUUUCGCCGGGGGAUAAAAGCAGUGGUAAUGUGG
This 599-nucleotide ribosomal RNA is filed under the name Sordariomycetes sp. RNAcentral's name for it is "eukaryotic LSU rRNA". The stretch from base 72 to 599 matches the Rfam family "Eukaryotic large subunit ribosomal RNA", at positions 1 to 539 of the family's 3401-position model. Lineage: Eukaryota; Fungi; Ascomycota; Sordariomycetes. The record is from RNAcentral.